This 141-nucleotide ribosomal RNA is filed under the name uncultured bacterium. Its description in RNAcentral is "partial 16S rRNA". It matches the Rfam family "Bacterial small subunit ribosomal RNA", at positions 355 to 511 of the family's 1533-position model. The record is from RNAcentral.
UGAGGAAUUUUCCGCAAUGGGCGAAAGCCUGACGGAGCAAUGCCGCGUGGAGGUGGAAGGCCUACGGGUCGUCAACUUCUUUUCUCGGAGAAGAAACAAUGACGGUAUCUGAGGAAUAAGCAUCGGCUAACUCUGUGCCAA